GACGAACGCUGGCGGCGUGCCUAAUACAUGCAAGUUGAGCGCUGAAGGUUGGUACUUGUACCCACUGGAUGAGCAGCGAACGGGUGAGUAACGCGUGGGGAAUCUGCCUUUGAGCGGGGGACAACAUUUGGAAACGAAUGCUAAUACCGCAUAAAAACUUUAAACACAAGUUUUAAGUUUGAAAGAUGCAAUUGCAUCACUCAAAGAUGAUCCCGCGUUGUAUUAGCUAGUUGGUGAGGUAAAGGCUCACCAAGGCGAUGAUACAUAGCCGACCUGAGAGGGUGAUCGGCCACAUUGGGACUGAGACACGGCCCAAACUCCUACGGGAGGCAGCAGUAGGGAAUCUUCGGCAAUGGACGAAAGUCUGACCGAGCAACGCCGCGUGAGUGAAGAAGGGUUUCGGAUCGUAGAACUCUGUUGGUAGAGAAGAACGUUGGUGAGAGUGGAAAGCUCAUCAAGUGACGGUAACUACCCAGAAAGGGACGGCUAACUACGUG
Molecule: ribosomal RNA, 497 nt
Filed under: uncultured bacterium
Lineage: Bacteria
Description: partial 16S ribosomal RNA
Rfam family: Bacterial small subunit ribosomal RNA
Source: RNAcentral